CUCAACUCUGACCAGUUUCCCAGUCCUGGCUGCUGAAAAACAUCACCACAGCGUGAUGCUGCCACCACCAUGUUUCACUGUGGGGAUGGUGUUCUUUAUGUGAUGUGUUGUGUUUGCGCCAGACAUAGCGUUUUCUUUGAUGGCCAAAAUGUUCAAUUUUAGUCUCAUCAGAACAGAACGCCUUCCUCCAUACAUUUUGGGAGUCUCCCACAUGCCUUUUCGCAAACUCAAAACGUGCCAUUUUG
Molecule: non-coding RNA, 245 nt
Organism: Pelobates cultripes (western spadefoot toad)
Lineage: Eukaryota; Metazoa; Chordata; Amphibia; Anura; Pelobatidae
Source: the annotation of a GenBank genome assembly